CCUACGGGGGGCAGCAGUGAGGAAUAUUGGUCAAUGGACGCAAGUCUGAACCAGCCAUGCCGCGUGCAGGAAGACGGCUCUAUGAGUUGUAAACUGCUUUUGUACGAGGGUAAACGCAGAUACGCGUAUCUGUCUGAAAGUAUCGUACGAAUAAGGAUCGGCUAACUCCGUGCCAGCAGCCGCGGUAAUACGGAGGAUUCAAGCGUUAUCCGGAUUUAUUGGGUUUAAAGGGUGCGUAGGCGGUCGGAUAAGUUAGAGGUGAAAUCCUGAGGCUCAACUUCGGAAUUGCCUCUGAUACUGUUCGUCUAGAGAGUAGUUGCGGUAGGCGGAAUGUAUGGUGUAGCGGUGAAAUGCUUAGAGAUCAUACAGAACACCGAUUGCGAAGGCAGCUUACCAAGCUACUUCUGACGUUGAGGCACGAAAGCGUGGGGAGCAAACAGGAUUAGAUACCCGGGUAGUC
This 460-nucleotide ribosomal RNA is filed under the name uncultured bacterium. RNAcentral describes it as "partial 16S ribosomal RNA". It matches the Rfam family "Bacterial small subunit ribosomal RNA", at positions 338 to 795 of the family's 1533-position model. The record is from RNAcentral.